This 242-nucleotide long non-coding RNA is filed under the name Pan troglodytes (chimpanzee). RNAcentral's name for it is "long non-coding RNA NONPTRT000042". Lineage: Eukaryota; Metazoa; Chordata; Mammalia; Primates; Hominidae. The record is from RNAcentral.
CGCACCCCUGGAACUGUGCAGGGCCCACCUGUGUGGCCACACGCAGUGACCCUGAGCAAAGGAGUGACCACAGAAGUGCAUGGCAAAGCAGAAAGGUGUGACGUCUUGGAGGACGCGGGAGGAAAGCACGCCCAGCGGACAGGAGCCAUCACGCGGCUGCGGGCUGCUGCUGAGAACCUGGCGUGGGCCACCAUCGUCAGCAGCGUGGAGAUGUCGCAGGUCCUGAAACGCUGCUCUUUGUG